GGUUGCUGUUCGGGCUAAGUGGGAGGGUACUCCUGUUCUAUUGGAAGCUGGUGAAUUACUAUCGAAGGAGUGGAAAGACCUUUAUUGGGAGUUCAUUGAGGUCUGGCUUCGAGCAGAGGAGGAUGAAUCUGACUCUCAUACAGCAAGAGAUUGCCUCAAAAGAAUUAUAAAACAUGGACGGUCACUUUUAAGUGAUCCACUGGCCUCACUAUUUGAGUUCUCUCUUAUUUUGAGAUCAGCAGCCCCAAGAUUGGUGCUUUACCGACAAUUAGCAGAGGAUUCUCUUUCUUCUUU
This 294-nucleotide unclassified non-coding RNA is filed under the name Hevea brasiliensis (rubber tree). The record is from RNAcentral. Lineage: Eukaryota; Viridiplantae; Streptophyta; Magnoliopsida; Malpighiales; Euphorbiaceae.